RNAcentral lists this transfer RNA (72 nucleotides) under Ovis aries (sheep). It matches the Rfam family "tRNA". Rfam says of the family: Transfer RNA (tRNA) molecules are approximately 80 nucleotides in length. Their secondary structure includes four short double-helical elements and three loops (D, anti-codon, and T loops). Lineage: Eukaryota; Metazoa; Chordata; Mammalia; Artiodactyla; Bovidae. The record is from Rfam by way of RNAcentral.
UCCCUGGUGGCUCAGACGGUGAAGCAUCUGCCUGCAAUGCAGGAAACCCUGGUUUAAUCCCUGGGUUGGGAA